CAGGGGCCCCACAACACGGGGGCGCGUGUGGCGCGGCCCCCGGUGCACGCAGAGGCCCCGCCUGGUGCCGCCUUCCCCUUGGCCGGGGCCGUGGACGUGGCGAACGUUGUGGCCUCUUGGGAGGUCGAAGAGGCCGCAUGUACUGAAGUGAAACCAGCCUUGGUGAUCGGUGGAAAGGCGCACGGCCUGCAGGGUUAUCGCAGCUCAGGAGGUGCCUGACAAGGCCUUGCUUGUCGUAAGGAACUUAGAUGUGAAGUUCUUCACGUGGCCUGUGCUGGGACCAACAGCAGAGCGGAGCUCCUGAGCUGCUCCCUUGUUGCAUUUGUCACUGUAGCUGUCAUACUCCCUUGCACUUGCUGCACAGCCAUGGUGCUGCUGUCACCAGUGGUGAUGCCCCGAGGAUGCCAUGACGGAAUGACUGCAUCAGGAACACCUACAUGCUGUGGGAUCAGGCUGCCCGGGACAGUUCAAUAAGGGCCUGUAUCCUUUCAGGCCCUUCAAAGUAAGCUUUGAAGUUUCAUCAUCCUUGUCAAGAUCUGGAAGUGCAGCUCAGGAUAUUCAAGAGUCCACAAAUCAGUAGUGGGAUGAAAAUAUGCUUUUGACAGGAGGCUUGAAAUCUCUCCUUCCCCAUGUGCUAAGAAGAAUAAUUAGAUGCAACAGACUCAGUAUUAGUAAUACUUCUGGAAUGGCAGAAGGCUAUGAACGGGCCAGUGUUGUGAUUUUGCACAAGUCCCUGGCUGAUGGCUUUGAGAAGUUCUGCCAUGCAAACGAUGGACCCCUGCCACUGCUGUACAGAAGCCAACCAGGUGACUGGAAAUGUCCUUCCCUGAGUAGUGAUUCUGCUAUCAGAACUGACUGGCUACAGUACAGAAAAUAUGAGCAUGGAGCUUGUACUGGAUCACUGAAAAGCCUUAAGGAAUAUUCUGAACAACUCAAGGACAUGGUGACUUUUUAUUUAGGCUGCAGCUUCUCUUUGGAAAAAGCAGUCCAAAAAGCUGGCAUUCCUAUCAGAAACAUUGAGCAAAAAUGUAAUGUGAGCAUGUACAAAACAUCUGUGCCUUGCUACAGCAUUUCUAUGUUUCACUGCAACUUAGUAGUCACAAUGAGACCUAUUCCUGAAAGCAAGUUGGGAGCAGCUGUGCUAGCAACAUCUGAAUUAAGAGAAUCCCACGGAGCACCAAUUCACAUAGGUGAUCCUGGUCUGCUGGGAAUACAAGAUCUUUCUAAACCAGACUAUGGAGAUCCAGUUCACCUUCACCCUGGUGACAUUCCAGUGUUUUGGGCCUCAGGAGUAACAGGAGUGGAAGCAAUUAUCAACAGCCGAGCUCCAUUAGCUUUUUCUCCUGACUGCACGUUCAUUACUGACCUAGAGAAAGGUAAUGUCAGAUCCUCAGGAGGAGUCCCACAGGUCCACUGCAUCUCUCGAGAUCCUCUGCAUUUCAGCAUUGUGUCAGCAGAAGCAGCCCAAAAGAUAAAUACUCUAGAGACCCUAAUUGGAAUAGAUCCAGGAGAGCGGGGAAUAAGGCACCUGCAGCGGCAGGGAGAGCUGCUGGGCGCCUGCCUGGCCCUGUCCCACGCGGGCUCCGUGCUGAUAACCACGGGAUUCCCCACCCACUUCGGCCACCAGCCGCCCGAGGAGAACGACGGCCCCCCGGGGGCCCUUGCCAUCGCUGCCAUGCUGCAGGCCUUGGAGAAACAGGUUGCCAUAGUGACAGAUCAGAGAGCCAUGGAUCUGAAUAAAAAGAUUAUUGAAGAAGCUGUUCGACUAGGAAUCCUGAAGAAGCCCAUCCCUCUAUUGAGUUAUCAAAGGGAAAGUGCCAAUUCAGCUUUAACGUUUUUGUGUGAGAAUGGGAAUCCUGGAAGACCUAGAUUUGAUCACCUGGUAGCAAUAGAGCGUGCUGGGAUGGCUGCUGAUGGCAAUUAUUACAAUGCCAGGAAAGUUAACAUUAAACAUCUGGUGGAUCCCAUAGAUGAACUAUUUUUAGCUGCACAAACCAUUCCAGGAAUCACAACAACAGGUGUUGGAGAUGGAGGAAAUGAAUUAGGAAUGGGCAAAGUAAAAGAUGCUGUAAAGAAGCACAUAAAAAAUGGAGAUGUUAUAGCUUGUGAUGUUGAAGCUGAUUUUACUGUUGUAGCUGGGGUCUCUAACUGGGGUGGCUAUGCCAUGGCCUGUGCCCUGCACGUGCUGCGCUGCUGCGAGACCCACGAGCGUUACCUGCGCCGAGCCCUCGGCUGCCCGCGCACACCGAGCCAGAGGCCCUGGCUGCCCGCGCUGCCCUCCGUCCCCAAGGAAGAAAAGCUUCUGAAAACACUUGUGCAGCUCGGGGUCCGCAGUGGCAAAACUGCCAGUCUGGAGAUGGAAGUGGAUGGGCUGCCCUUCUACAGCACCCAUUCACUUAUGAUUGAAAAGCUGCUGCAGGAAGCACAGCAGUGACUGCCCCUAAUGAUUUCUACAUGAAGAGUUGCUCCCAUGUCAUUUCCUUAUUUUUGAGGCUCUCUCAAGGUGAGUGGCAGGACUACAGUUCUGCUGGCUGUCAGCCCUCCCAGCAGAGAAGGUACAUUUGACCCCGCCCCUAGAGCACUGGUGCUUUACCUAUCACAAAAUGGAAGUUGCCUUUAGUUGGACUUUCAGCAGUGAGCAACACUUUUUAUCUUUUCCUUCCUGGCAGGUGAGUUUUCUUUUCUUUCUACAAUGCAAGACAAACAACUUUUUCAGAAUGAGUAAAAUAAUUUCACACCACAAACACCAGCAUAUUUUGAACAUCAAUCUCCUGAAGUCCCUGAGGAUACAGGGCCUUUAAAGACAAAAAAUAGUAGAACACAUGACAGAAAGAAAUCUAAAUGCCAGACUUCUGCUAGACAUUCAGGUUCACCCAAGAUCCCAAUGAACUUUUUGCCAAAGCCAGUAACCCUGCAGGAUGGCAUAUGUUCACUGCUGCAGAGAACUCACAGGAUGAAAUUUGCAUCAUUUUAAAAGAAGCAGCUGAUUUUAUUCUCUCUGUGCUACUGACAUGUUACACUAACAGAUGCAAUGGACAUUUUCAAGCACUGACUUUUCUCAAAAAAAAAUUUCAUUUAGUAAGCUCUUUGUCCCAAAAUACAAGUCUUAACAGUUAGUUUUCAUUAAGAAAUACAAAAUUUAAUAUUUUUUCUCUUUUUCUCAAGUGUGUGCUUUUAAAAUGCUUUCUUGUGUGCAGUCCCAAGCAUGGCAUUUACUUCAAUAGCAUGUGUAGCAUGUCUCUAGCAACCUUAGCAGGACCCUUGAGUGAAUGUCUUUUGACAGAGAGGGAAGGAAAAGCUCUGAGUGGGAGUUACCUUCCUGUUCUGUUGGUUACAGGUCUGCAGCCUAAGCCAAACAGUUACAAUACAGAAAGAAUUGAUAAAAUAUUGGCUUCAAGAAAAAAAAAAGGGAAAAGAAGAAAAAAAUCCCUCCUUUCUGUUCUGGGUUUGCAGGGACUCUUGUGGACAACUCGUAAAAUCCCACAGUAGGAGAAGGCCAGGAGAAAGAAGGGGAAAAGGAAGCCAGCAGAGAAGCGGUAGUAAUUGACAUUGUGCUCCCAUUUCUUGAUGGGGUAAUGCUCAAAGCACACCAAGUGGCUCUCAGCAUCCAUACUGAUCUCCCCGUGUGUAAAGACAAAGCAGCAUGUGAUGAUUUCUUUGGCCCAGAUGAUGAUGCUCACAAUGGCAGCAGCCUUCAUGGUCCGAAAGCGCUGGAAGCGGAAGGGGUGCACCACGGCCAGGUAGCGGUCGAUGGAGAUGCAGCACAGGAAGCCCACGCUGAUGUAGAUGUUCUCAUACAGGAUGAUGCCACAAACUUUGCACAGCAGCUCAUCGUAGGUCCAGUUGUCAUGCUGUAAAGCAUACUGAAGCCAAAAAGGCAAAGAAAAUAUGUACAGCAGGUCUGCUAUAGUCAAAUUGCAAAGAGGGAACAUCAGCCCUGGUUUUGGUGGAAAUAUCCUUGGGAGCUCAGAAACUUUCAGUCAUGAAACAAUAGGCCAAGUUUCCCUUUUGGAGAUUAACCAAGUUUCCUGAGUAGAACUGAGUCAAUAUUCACAUGGAAGACAUGUUCCUCCAUUGUUAUUUCUCAGUGUUCUCAUGAGAAGCAGUGUGCCUUGCAGAAGGUUUUCCUUGUGCUCUUUCCCUCGUUGCCGUUCUUGCUCCCUAGAUGACUAUUGAAAAUGUCAGUCCUUUUUUUUACACUUGAGGGUACAGGACUCCAACAAUCUAGUUCCCAGUGGAUUAAUCACUUUAAAUAAAGUGCUGGCAUCUGUAUCUGCAGGUUUGCUUACAUUACCGUUUCCUGAUUUUCCAUUUCUGGAUGAAAGAGGUUCAACAUGAAAACUGAGAAAAAUAGUUGGAGAGGCAUGACCUCACAGAAAUGCAAACCCCGCCUUCUUUAAUAGUAUCAAAGAAGCAAUUCACAGCAAAAGCAACGACCUUGCUGGAAACCAUUCACACUUCCAAACAGGCUUCUGACCAGAGAAAAGGGAGAGAAUCAAAUGCUUGUUACAGGAGAGUUCUGAUGAGCUCAUGAGGAAAUGGAAAAGCUGACACAGGAGAUGUGAGAUUCCAAAUUGAGAGCUGUUCAGAAAUCCAGGUCCUGCUUUGGGGUGGAGGUGUAAAACCAGCUCUGAAAUUUGGACUUAAGUUCAAAUUUCAAAUAAUAAUGUUCUGACAUGAUAGUCUCAGUGAUUUUAGUUUAAGCCUCUUGUAAGUUUAAAAGACAAUUGCUAUUUUAAAAGCUAUGUCUGAACAGUUCUUAAACAUGGAGCAUAAACCAGAUACACCCUCUAAUUAGAUAUGAGUAGACACUAAAUCAUUAUCCAUCACAGAGUAAAAGCUUUCCUUCCUUGGCAGAAGGAAGAUGAAAUGUUUCCAGAUAUAAAAUGGAAACAUUCUAAUGGUUACUAAAAUACUGAGUUAAAAGAAAGCCAAACCAAGAGAUCUCGGAAAUAUUUCCAUUCAUCCCUACUGAUAUUUUAGCAUUUUAUUCAGGUGUCAUUAAAGUGAUUGAACUUA
This is an RNA transcript of Haemorhous mexicanus (house finch), 5019 nucleotides long. It is a transcript of the gene named D-glutamate cyclase, with no coding region annotated. NCBI's taxonomy places the organism in Eukaryota, Metazoa, Chordata, Aves, Passeriformes, Fringillidae. The record is from RefSeq and is a predicted model, not a curated record. The transcript is spliced from 19 exons.